RNAcentral lists this ribosomal RNA (736 nucleotides) under uncultured bacterium. RNAcentral's name for it is "bacterial SSU rRNA". It matches the Rfam family "Bacterial small subunit ribosomal RNA", at positions 61 to 807 of the family's 1533-position model. The record is from RNAcentral.
GUCCGACGAUGAAGCUCCUAGCUUGCUAGAGUCGAUUAGUGGCGCACGGGUGAGGAAUAUAUAGCUAAUGUGCCCCUUAGAGGGGGAUAACAGUUGGAAACGACUGCUAAUACCCCAUACUCCUUCUUACCACAAGGUAAGUCGGGAAAGUUUUUUCGCUAAGGGAUCGGGCUAUACGGUAUCAGCUUGUUGGUGAGGUAAUGGCUCACCAAGGCUAUGACGCCUAUCUGGUCUGAGAGGAUGAUCAGACACACUGGAACUGAGACACGGUCCAGACUCCUACGGGAGGCAGCAGUGGGGAAUAUUACACAAUGGAGGAAACUCUGAUGUAGCAACGCCGCGUGGAGGAUGACACACUUCGGUGCGUAAACUCCUUUUAUAUGGGAAGAUAAUGACGGUACCAUAUGAAUAAGCACCGGCUAACUCCGUGCCAGCAGCCGCGGUAAUACGGAGGGUGCAAGCGUUACUCGGAAUCACUGGGCGUAAAGCGCGCGCAGGCGGCUCAUUAAGUUGGAUGUGAAAUCCUAUGGCUCAACCAUAGAACUGCAUCCAAAACUGAUGAGCUAGAGUCUGGGAGGGGAAGAUGGAAUUAGUGGGUGUAGGGGGUAAAAUCCGUAGAGAUCACUAAGAAUACCAAAAGCGAAAGCGGAUCUUUUUGGAACAGUACUGACGCUGAAGGCGCGAAAGCGUGGGGAAGCAACAGGAUUAAAUAACCCUGGUAGUCCACGCCCUAAAC